Molecule: ribosomal RNA, 253 nt
Filed under: uncultured bacterium
Lineage: Bacteria
Description: partial 16S ribosomal RNA
Rfam family: Bacterial small subunit ribosomal RNA
Source: RNAcentral
UACAUGUGGGGCAAGCGUUGUUCGGAAUUACUGGGCAUAAAGGGUGCGUAGGCGGUUUGUUAAGUCACUGGUGAAAGUUUUCGGCCCAACCGGAAAAUUGCCUGUGAUACUGGCGAACUUGAGUGCGUGAGGGGUGGGGGGAACGAGCAGUGUAGCGGUGGAAUGCGCAGAUAUCAGGAGGAACACCGGUGGCGAAGGCAGCUCGCUGGGACGAUACUGACGCUGAGGCGCGAAAGCGUGGGGAGCAAACAGG